RNAcentral lists this ribosomal RNA (433 nucleotides) under uncultured bacterium. RNAcentral describes it as "partial 16S ribosomal RNA". It matches the Rfam family "Bacterial small subunit ribosomal RNA", at positions 29 to 507 of the family's 1533-position model. The record is from RNAcentral.
AGCGAACGCUGGCGGCAGGCUUAACACAUGCAAGUCGAGCGGGCCCUUCGGGGUCAGCGGCAGACGGGUGAGUAACACGUGGGAACGUACCCUUUGGUUCGGAAUAACGCUGGGAAACUAGCGCUAAUACCGGAUACGCCCUUUUGGGGAAAGGCUUGCUGCCGAAGGAUCGGCCCGCGUCUGAUUAGCUAGUUGGUGGGGUAAUGGCCUACCAAGGCGACGAUCAGUAGCUGGUCUGAGAGGAUGAUCAGCCACACUGGGACUGAGACACGGCCCAGACUCCUACGGGAGGCAGCAGUGGGGAAUAUUGGACAAUGGGCGUAAGCCUGAUCCAGCCAUGCCGCGUGAGUGAUGAAGGCCUUAGGGUUGUAAAGCUCUUUUGUCCGGGACGAUAAUGACGGUACCGGAAGAAUAAGCCCCGGCUAACUUCGUG